GGAGCGGGAGCCCCGGGGGCGGCACCGGCACCGGCAGCGGCACCGGCAGCUCCUCCCCCGCCGCCCGGGGCAGCCGCGGGUCGCACGGGAGCGUCAUCAGGCCGGGGGCCGAGUCCCGGGCCGCGGUAAACAGGACACGGAAGGGAAAGCAGGAAGCCUGCUCACCCAGCUCUGGGGGCUGACGCGGGGCGCUCGGGAUGAGCCUGAGAGACAGGAGCGGGACCUUCUCCCUGAGGAAAAAGAGGGCCCCCCGUACCGGUGUUACAUCCUGGGGAGGCCGCGGUAGCGGAAUUACCGAGAAAAAAACCUGCAUCUCCACAUCACGUGCAACCACGGGUGCGUGCACAGGGCACCCAGGGCCUGCAGGGCCUCGCGGCGCAGCGCGGUGGUCACUGCGUGUGCACGGCGGAAGCACAGGGAGUUAAAUCAGUCUCGUUUCCAUCUUUAUCCCAUACCUAAGGAUGGUAGUGGCAGUCAGCGCUGCUAGGAAGAAGGGGUCGAGCUGGAAGGAAGGCUUUGGCUAAGGGUUAGAGCUGAGCACCAGCACACGGAUGCAGUCCACAGACAGCUGCUCACUCCAUCGCAGCUCAUCACUCGCAGCUGAUCUGUUGCCCAAAGGUGAAGGAUGCAACAAUAAGCAGCAAUGUUUGUUUUACUGUAUGGUGCUGGAGGAACUUGGAAUAAAUGUGACAGAUGUGGAGAUAAAGUGUGGAAAUAAUUAAAAAGAUAUAAAAGGGGACACAAAACAGAGGAAACCAUGAGAAAGAAAAAUAGCACUAAAGAAGAACAGAAAGCACAGCCACUCCCAGCCAUCAAACAUUAAAUCUACAAGUAACAGGGGAAAAAUAUUAAGGUCAAGUCUGGUAUGGAGGUUCUAUUCAGAUCGGGACGCUCACAAGAAUCCAAACUACUGAGAAAGAAUUAAGAUGUCAUUAACAGCCAUCUGUUCCUGGUCCUGCUCUCUGUUUCUUCCAUCAAAGAAAUAAUUCCAGGCAUGAAACACCUCAUUGGAGCAACAAUCACCUGAAACCAACAGGGCGCUGCAAUACGAGGGUGGGCCUGGCUUGCAGGGGGCACAGCAACGGAAGAAACUUUAGCACAGAACUUGGUGUCCACUGUAUG
Long non-coding RNA from Apus apus (common swift), 1122 nucleotides. RefSeq lists it as uncharacterized. The transcript is spliced from 3 exons. The record is from RefSeq and is a predicted model, not a curated record. Lineage: Eukaryota; Metazoa; Chordata; Aves; Apodiformes; Apodidae.